RNAcentral lists this long non-coding RNA (624 nucleotides) under Pan paniscus (pygmy chimpanzee). RNAcentral describes it as "lncRNA (ENSPPAG00000045048.1)". The record is from RNAcentral. Lineage: Eukaryota; Metazoa; Chordata; Mammalia; Primates; Hominidae.
AUGAUGGCCAAAGCGUGCGCCAGGGCUAUCCGGGAACCUUGUAAGGCCUUGUGCUGGCACCUAACCCCACUCGCGGCACACUUCCUCUAUGUAGUCUGCGGCCCCGCCUGCCAAAUGAGAGUGACCAGUGCAGGGACAGAAUGCCAGGCUGGUGGCCGACCGCCUGAGGGACAAAGCUCAUUCAAAAGAGCCCAUGGAAACAGAGAGACCCAUGAGGAGUCUCUUGCCACUGGGACUGACUCUGCCUGGGACCCAGAGACCAGAAAUGUUCUAGGAACAGAAAUCAGUGGCAGCCAGAGACGUUCUCCCCAGGUUUCCGGCCCUGCUGGUGGCCCCUCCACCAGGCUCCACACAGGCAGGAACCCCCAGAAGAGGAAAGGGGCCUGUAAUAGGAGUCAUCAACCUGUCACCACGGCUAGGGUGAAUAUGGCCUCUGAGUUGGGGGAAGGGGGGAGGUUUACUCUUUAGCACCACCAGCUGCAGGGAUGGGGAGGGGCUGUGGAGGGUGGGGUGGGGAGGGGAGGCUGGAGGUGGAGCUGGCCUUCUCUAUCCACAGCCCACAGCCUCCUCAGAACAGACACUGGGCUAGUAACGUGCGGUGCUGCGGUCUAGGUCCCUGGCCCC